This 783-nucleotide ribosomal RNA is filed under the name Triticum aestivum (bread wheat). RNAcentral's name for it is "partial small subunit ribosomal RNA". The record is from RNAcentral. Lineage: Eukaryota; Viridiplantae; Streptophyta; Magnoliopsida; Poales; Poaceae.
AUGGUCGGUUCAGCGCGAGCGCGCAUAGCAGGGGGUGAGGGCGGUUUAAGGCGGAGGCAGCUCAGGAGGCGUCUUGGGGUCAGAGGCGAACCCAGACGGGGACGCGGCGCCGCGGGCAGCUCGGCAGACUCAAUGCACGAUAACUCGGUGGAGACGGGACCCAGCCAAUGCGCGCGCAAAGCCGCCGGGUUUGUGCACGGACGCGGCGGAUUAACGAAGCAGGGCGAGUGGCGGGUCAGCGCCCGGCGGUUUGACGGAAGCAGGACCGGGCCGAGCAGCGGAGGCGGCAACAGCAACUCGGCGGUUUACGGCGACUCACGGGCGGGGCCUUGGCGGGUCGACGUGCAGCGGCAGCCCACGGAGUGGCGAAGUGGAAGGACGAGCCGGCGGCGGUUGGAAUCAGGGGAACGAGCCAGCGGCGGCCCUCGAACGGUGUUGACUAACGGGGCGAGGCAACGGAGGUGGAGACCGGCGACCCGUCGCGCCGCUUGUGGAGGUGGCGAAGCGGGCAGUUGGUCCAGAGGCGAACCAGCUCGGCGGCUUAACAGGACCGCGGAUGUAGUGACUCGGACCGUAGACCAGCAGGUUGGAGGCGCGGCUGAAGCCGGCGGGUUGGAGCAGCCAAGGCGGCUCAGCGGGCCGCAGCGGGGACGGCGAAGGCGGAGCGAUUUUGACGAGACCGCGGUGGUAACUCGGAUUCGGCGAGACGGUUUCAACCCCGGCUGGUCUGACUCCUUGUCCGGGUCGUACUUGUCUUCGGUGAAAAAACUUAAACCGUCGUGA